This 669-nucleotide ribosomal RNA is filed under the name uncultured Methanoculleus sp. RNAcentral describes it as "bacterial SSU rRNA". It matches the Rfam family "Archaeal small subunit ribosomal RNA", at positions 198 to 876 of the family's 1478-position model. Lineage: Archaea; Methanobacteriati; Methanobacteriota; Methanomicrobia; Methanomicrobiales; Methanomicrobiaceae. The record is from RNAcentral.
GGCGCCUUAGGAUGGAUCUGCGGCCGAUUAGGUCGUGUUGGGUAACGGCCCAACAAGCCGAUAAUCGGUACGGUGUGGAGCAAGAGCCCGGAGUUGGAUUCUGAGACACGAAUCCAGGCCCUACGGGGCGCAGCAGGCGCGAAAACUUUACAAUGCGGGCAACCGUGAUAAGGGAACCUCGAGUGCCUGUACAUGCAGGCUGUCUGGGUGUCUAAAACACACCCAAAGAAAGGGCCGGGCAAGACCGGUGCCAGCCGCCGCGGUAAUACCGGCGGCUCGAGUGGUGGCCACUUUUAUUGGGCUUAAAGCGUUCGUAGCUGGGUUGUUAAGUCUCUUGGGAAAUCUGGCAGCUUAACUGUCAGGCGUCUAAGAGAUACUGGCAAUCUAGGAACCGGGAGAGGUGAGGGGUACUUCGGGGGUAGGAGUGAAAUCCUGUAAUCCUCGAGGGACCACCUGUGGCGAAGGCGCCUCACCAGAACGGCUUCGACAGUGAGGGACGAAAGCUGGGGGAGCAAACCGGAUUAGAUACCCGGGUAGUCCCAGCCGUAAACGAUGCGCGUUAGGUGUGUCGAUGACCACGAGUCAUCGAGGUGCCGAAGGGAAACCGUGAAACGCGCCGCCUGGGAAGUACGGUCGCAAGGCUGAAACUUAAAGGAAUUGGCGGGGGAG